RNAcentral lists this ribosomal RNA (1625 nucleotides) under Fasciola gigantica. RNAcentral's name for it is "SSU rRNA". It matches the Rfam family "Eukaryotic small subunit ribosomal RNA", at positions 1 to 1509 of the family's 1831-position model. Lineage: Eukaryota; Metazoa; Platyhelminthes; Trematoda; Plagiorchiida; Fasciolidae. The record is from RNAcentral.
AUCUGUUUGAUCCUGCCAGUAGUCUUAUGCUUGUCUCAGAGAUUAAGCCAUGCAUGUCUAAGUACAUACCUUUAAAUGGUGAAACCGCGAAUGGCUUGUUAAAUCAGCUAUGAUUCCUUGGAUCGUAAAUAAUACAUGGAUAACUGUAGUAAUUCUACAGUUAAUACAUGCCACUAUGUCCUGGUCCGCGAGGGAAUGGGUGGAUUUAUUAGAACAACCAACCGGGGGUGGCUUCGGUCGUCUCUGUUGCAUUCUGUGAUGGCUCCGGAUAACUUCACUGAUCGCAGUCGGCCUUGUGCCGGCGACGAAUCUUUCAAAUGUCUGCCCUAUCAAUCUUCGAUGUUAGGUGACCUGUCUACCAUGGUGCUAACGGGUCACGGGGAAUCAAGGUUCGAUCCGGAGAGGAGGCUAGAGAAACGGCUACCACCUUCAAGGAAGGCAGCAGGCACGCAAAUUACCCGAUCCCGGCACGGGGAGGUAUUGACAAAAAAUGCGGAUACGGGGCUCACUUGAGGCUCCGUAACUUGAGUGAGUACAAUUGAAAUCCUUUAACGAAGACCAACUGGAGGGCAAGUCUGGUGCUAACAGCCGCGGUAACUCCAGCUCCAGAAGCGUAUAUUAAAGUUGUUGCAGCUGUGUUGCAUGGCUACAUGUCGUCGCUCGUGGAUCUGGCCUGGUUAGUACCGGGUUGAGCUUGCCAGUCGGUCUCGUGAUUGUGCUUUUUUUCUGCUGUGUCUGUUUACAAGUGUCAGCGUGGCUGGUGGGCUUGCCUGCUAGUCUGUUGGCAUGCCACUUGGUGCCUUUAAUCGGGUGUCGAAGGCGAACAGCACGUUUACUUUGAACAGAUUUGAGUGCUCAGACCAGGUCUUUGUACCUAAAAAUUCUUGCAUGGAAUAGGACUUCGGUUCUAUUUCGUUAGUUUUCGGAUCCGAAGUAAUGGUCAGGAGGAACAGACGGGGGCAUUUGCAUGGUGGUGUUAGAGGUGAAAUUCUUGGAUUGCCACCAGACAAACAACAGCGAAAGCAUUUGGCAGGGAUGUUUUCAUUGAUAUUGAGCAAAAGUCAGAGGUUCGAAUACGAUUAGAUACCGUCCUAGUUCUGAGCAUAAACGAUACCAACUGACGAUCCGUGGUGUUUCUUUAUGUGUCCCCACAGCCAAUCCCCGGGAAACCCUUAAGUCUUUCGGCUUCGAGGGCAGUACGGUUGCAAAUCUGAAACUUAAAGGAAUGACGGAAGGGCACCACCGGGAGUGGAGCCUGCGGCUUAAUUGGACUCAACACGGGAAAACUCACCCGGCCCGGAACUGUGAGGAUUGACAGGUUGAUAGCUCUUUCUUGAUUCGGUGGUUGGUGGUGCAUGGCCGUUCUUAGUUGAUGGAGCGGUUUGUCUGUUAAUUUCGAUAAAGAGCGAGACUCUGGCCUGCUAAAUAGUAUGCUUGUCCUCUUUGCUCAUGCAGGUUGCGUUGUCCAUUGACUCUUCGUGAGGUAGUGGUUACGUUGACCGUCAGGUGCGGCGCAGGUACUUAUUUCUCAGAGGGACAAGCGGCAUUCAGUCGCACGAAAUUGAGCAAUAACAGGUCUGUGAUGCCCUCAGGUGUCUGGGAACGCACGUGCGCUACAAUGACAG